RNAcentral lists this transfer RNA (49 nucleotides) under Pseudomonas sp. Its description in RNAcentral is "tRNA-Met". RNAcentral also lists the same sequence under 2 other names. The record is from RNAcentral. Lineage: Bacteria; Pseudomonadati; Pseudomonadota; Gammaproteobacteria; Pseudomonadales; Pseudomonadaceae.
CGCGGGGUGGAGCAGUCUGGUAGCUCGUCGGGCUCAUAACCCGAAGGUC